This 435-nucleotide ribosomal RNA is filed under the name uncultured bacterium. RNAcentral describes it as "bacterial SSU rRNA". It matches the Rfam family "Bacterial small subunit ribosomal RNA", at positions 43 to 524 of the family's 1533-position model. The record is from RNAcentral.
CAGGCCUAACACAUGCAAGUCGAACGAUGCUUUCGGGCAUAGUGGCGCACGGGUGAGUAACACGUGGGAACGUACCCUUCGGUUCGGAAUAACGCUGGGAAACUAGCGCUAAUACCGGAUACGCCCUUUUGGGGAAAGGUUUACUGCCGAAGGAUCGGCCCGCGUCUGAUUAGCUAGUUGGUGGGGUAACGGCCUACCAAGGCGACGAUCAGUAGCUGGUCUGAGAGGAUGAUCAGCCACACUGGGACUGAGACACGGCCCAGACUCCUACGGGAGGCAGCAGUGGGGAAUAUUGGACAAUGGGCGCAAGCCUGAUCCAGCCAUGCCGCGUGAGUGAUGAAGGCCUUAGGGUUGUAAAGCUCUUUUGUCCGGGACGAUAAUGACGGUACCGGAAGAAUAAGCCCCGGCUAACUUCGUGCCAGCAGCCGCGGUAAU